Molecule: ribosomal RNA, 424 nt
Filed under: uncultured prokaryote
Description: bacterial SSU rRNA
Rfam family: Bacterial small subunit ribosomal RNA
Source: RNAcentral
CAAGGAAUUUUCCGCAAUGGGCGCAAGCCUGACGGAGCAACGCCGCGUGCAGGACGACGGCCCUAGGGUCGUAAAGCUCUUUCGCCAGGGAUGAUAAUGACAGUACCUGGUAAAGAAACCCCGGCUAACUCCGUGCCAGCAGCCGCGGUAAUACGGAGGGGGUUAGCGUUGUUCGGAAUUACUGGGCGUAAAGCGCGCGUAGGCGGACUAUUAAGUCAGGGGUGAAAUCCCGGGGCUCAACCCCGGAACUGCCUUUGAUACUGGUAGUCUUGAGUUCGAGAGAGGUGAGUGGAAUUCCGAGUGUAGAGGUGAAAUUCGUAGAUAUUCGGAGGAACACCAGUGGCGAAGGCGGCUCACUGGCUCGAUACUGACGCUGAGGUGCUAAAGCGUGGGGAGCAAACAGGAUUAGAUACCCGUGUAGUCC